RNAcentral lists this ribosomal RNA (253 nucleotides) under uncultured bacterium. RNAcentral's name for it is "partial 16S ribosomal RNA". It matches the Rfam family "Bacterial small subunit ribosomal RNA", at positions 524 to 776 of the family's 1533-position model. The record is from RNAcentral.
AACGUAGGAGACAAACGUUAUCCGGAGUUACUGGGCGUAAAGGGCGUGUAGGUGGUUUCGUAAGUCUGGCGUGAAAUUUCUCGGCUUAACCGAGGCAGGUCGUCGGAUACUGCGGAACUUGAGGACGGUAGGGGCGUGUGGAAUUCCGGGUGUAGUGGUGAAGUGCGUAGAGAUCCGGAGGAACACCAGUGGCGAAGGCGACACGCUGGGCCGUACCUGACACUGAUGCGCGACAGCAUGGGGAGCAAACAGG